RNAcentral lists this unclassified non-coding RNA (314 nucleotides) under uncultured fungus. Its description in RNAcentral is "partial contains small subunit ribosomal RNA, internal transcribed spacer 1, and 5.8S ribosomal RNA". The stretch from base 1 to 73 matches the Rfam family "Eukaryotic small subunit ribosomal RNA", at positions 1759 to 1831 of the family's 1831-position model. The record is from RNAcentral. Lineage: Eukaryota; Fungi.
ACAAACUUGGUCAUUUAGAGGAAGUAAAAGUCGUAACAAGGUUUCCGUAGGUGAACCUGCGGAAGGAUCAUUACCGAGUGAGGGUCCUCGUGGCCCAAUCUCCCAACCCUUGUGUUUAAUUAUACCACGUUGCUUCGGCGGGCCCGCCCCUCCGGGGGCCGCCGGACGAGGACUCACCUCCUGUCUGGCCCGUUGCCCGUCGAUAGCCCGACCACAAACUCUUGAUAAAACCUGUCGUCUGAGUAUAAAUGAUAAAUUAAAUCAAAACUUUCAACAACGGAUCUCUUGGUUCUGGCAUCAAUGAAGAACGCAGC